GAUCCUGGCUCAGGACGAACGCUGGCGGCGUGCCUAACACACGCAAGUCGAACGGAGAAGUUUUAUUUCGGUAGAAUUCUUAGUGGCGAACGGGUGAGUAACGCGUAGGCAACCUACCCUUUAGACGGGGACAACAUUCCGAAAGGAGUGCUAAUACCGGAUGUGAUCAUCGUGCCGCAUGGCAGGAUGAAGAAAGAUGGCCUCUACAAGUAAGCUAUCGCUAAAGGAUGGGCCUGCGUCUGAUUAG
RNAcentral lists this ribosomal RNA (247 nucleotides) under uncultured bacterium. RNAcentral's name for it is "partial 16S ribosomal RNA". It matches the Rfam family "Bacterial small subunit ribosomal RNA", at positions 15 to 244 of the family's 1533-position model. The record is from RNAcentral.